AUGAUGUUUGUGUCUGGCAGCUUUCCUGCACAUCCCCUGAUCUCAUUGGUGCAGCUGAACUUCAGAAAAGAAGCAGAUAUUUUCAUGCCCAGGAAUGUGAAAAAGUGCAGUCAGAACCCUACAAGUCAAAAUAAAAAGAUAUGUUGUUACGAUCUACAAAGGAAAAUACUGAAGGAAAAAUGGGGGGAAAGAGAGAAAGAGGAAAAAGAAAAAGAAGAAGAAAACCAUUUGAUUCAACAGCUGUCUGCAUGUAGAGCUUGGAUGUAGUAUCAUACUGCAUAAUGGUGUUACAUAAAUACAAGUGAUAUAGGUCAUUUUUUAUGAGUGUCAUAAGUUUUGUUCUGUGUGUGGUGGCCUCUCUGAUUGUUUGCUGUUACCUGCUGGCUUCCCAUCUAUAAAUAUUUAAUGAUACACUGCAGUUAGAUCAGGAAGAAGAACUGCAUUUAUAGUAACAAAAAAUCAAUAAUUUUUAAGCAAUUGAUUAUAACUAGCUUCACAUAUCAAAUUUGUUUCUUAUUCCCUCUGACAGACUGGCAGAUUUUCUCGUGCUUCAUUUUCUUAUUACUUAAAAAAGGCUUAUCUUCCUUUUGUGUAAGACCCAUGCAAAGGAAUUAGUUAUGUACUGAAGAGACAGUGAAGAUGUCUAAGUACAGAAUAGUACCAACUAGAUACCAUUAAAAUACAUUAAUUGUAUUUUAUUAAAAUAAUUGUAAACUGAGGAUAAAUCUUAUGCUCAACUGGAAGGGGCAGUAAACACUGUCGAAUAUUUUGCUAUACUGAUGGGAUUUCCAGACUUAACACUUGUUUGUCACCGUAAGUGAAAACUUGCCUAGUAAGUGGGGGAGAACGUUCCGUGUUUUGCUUUGUUUGGUGCUGCAUAGUUUCAGUUGACCUUCUGAGAGAAUGGAAGGACUUUUCAUGCUGGCUCUGAAUUUUUUCCUGGUAAUUGACAUCUAAGCCACUAUUAGAAAAGGUAAAGCUGGUUUGAGAAACAGCUAGAAUAGCUAUUUCUUUAUCUAUUUAUUUAUUAAUUUGUUAAUUUAUUAAUUCUGGCCAACAUCUAAGAUAAUUAUAGCACAAAUACUUACCAAUCUAAACAAAGUUUUUCUUGCCAACCAGGUUGAUUGUGUUACAUAGCAUAUCUAGCAAGGUAAGUUAGUUGUUCCCAUCGCUGGGAAGAGUAUAAGGGUUGUUAAAGAAAAAAUGGAGAUUUAUUUAAAAGGUUAAGUUUUAAGUUAUGACAGUUACAGAAGAAAAUUCUUGUCUGUUAACAUCGUUUAUGUCCUAUCAUUGCAUUUAUUGGUAGUUUGCAUAUUCUCCUCCUCUACUAUAUGUCCUUUCUGCUUUCCACAGCUGACUUACGUUAGCUUUGUCCUUUGAAUCUUUCUCAAACUGCACUUUCUUGUUUAUAUACUGCUUAUUAAAUAUUUAUUAAACAUAUCAAAGGGAAUAUUGUUUGAAGGUGCGUAAAAUGAUAAGUUUAUGGGUGCACAAGCCUCUCUUUGAGGUUACCUGAAGGGCUUACAGCCUGGAAUCUUACCAGUUUUUUUUCCCCCAUCUAAUAAUAAUAAUAAUAAUAAUAAUAUUAACAAUAACAGUAAUAAUAAACAGCAACAAAAAACAGCA
This 1626-nucleotide long non-coding RNA is filed under the name Phasianus colchicus (ring-necked pheasant). Its description in RNAcentral is "lncRNA (ENSPCLG00000008536.1)". Lineage: Eukaryota; Metazoa; Chordata; Aves; Galliformes; Phasianidae. The record is from RNAcentral.